Molecule: non-coding RNA, 113 nt
Filed under: Cryptomonas curvata
Lineage: Eukaryota; Cryptophyceae; Cryptomonadales; Cryptomonadaceae
Source: RNAcentral
UGUGACAGUGCAGACAGCGUAUGAUGAAGACCUCUGGUGCUAAAUGGCAGUGGCUCGAACUCUGACAAACUCUUUUCAGCUGGCAAAGGCGAUUUUGAAAUAUCCAAACAGAU